CCUACGGGAGGCAGCAGUAGGGAAUAUUGCUCAAUGGGGGAAACUCUGAAGCAGCAACGCCGCGUGGAGGAUGAAGGUUUUCGGAUUGUAAACUCUCUUUUUUAGAGAAGAUAAUGAUGGUACGUGACGAAUAAUCACCGGCUAACUCCGUGCCAGCAGCCGCGGUAAUACGGCGGGUGCAGGCGUUACUCGGAAUCACUGGGCGUAAAGGGCGCGUAGGGGGGAUAGCAAGUCAGAUGUGAAAUCCUAUGGCUUAACCAUAGAACUGCAUUUGAAACUGUUAUUCUAGAGUAUGGGAGAGGUAGGUGGAAUUCGUGGUGUAGGGGUAAAAUGCGUAGAGAUCAAGAAGAAUACUCAUUGCGAAGGCAGCCUGCUAGAACAUAACUGACGCUGAUGCGCGAAAGCGUGGGGAGCAAACAGGAUUAGAUACCCCUGUAGUC
Molecule: ribosomal RNA, 440 nt
Filed under: uncultured bacterium
Lineage: Bacteria
Description: partial 16S ribosomal RNA
Rfam family: Bacterial small subunit ribosomal RNA
Source: RNAcentral